AUUUGUAGCAAUACCGAUAAAAUCUAGUGGCGGACGGGUUGCGUAACACGGUGAGCAAUCUGCCGGGAAGUGGGGGAUAACUCGCCGAAAGGCGAAUUAAUACCGCAUGUGGCCAAGGAAGACAUCUUCCCAAAGCCAAAGUCGCAAGACGCUUCCUGAUGAGCUCGCGGCCUAUCAGCUAGUUGGUGAGGUAACGGCUCACCAAGGCUAUGACGGGUAGCUGGUCUGAGAGGAC
RNAcentral lists this ribosomal RNA (235 nucleotides) under uncultured Verrucomicrobiota bacterium. RNAcentral describes it as "uncultured Verrucomicrobia bacterium partial 16S ribosomal RNA". It matches the Rfam family "Bacterial small subunit ribosomal RNA", at positions 72 to 301 of the family's 1533-position model. Lineage: Bacteria; Pseudomonadati; Verrucomicrobiota. The record is from RNAcentral.